This is a small nucleolar RNA of Sciurus vulgaris (Eurasian red squirrel), 204 nucleotides long. Its record names the gene SNORA74. It matches the Rfam family "Small nucleolar RNA SNORA74". Rfam says of the family: U19 belongs to the H/ACA class of snoRNAs. snoRNAs bind a number of proteins (including dyskerin, Gar1p and Nop10p in the case of the H/ACA class) to form snoRNP complexes. This class are thought to guide the sites of modification of uridines to pseudouridines by forming direct base pairing interactions with substrate RNAs. Targets may include ribosomal and spliceosomal RNAs but the exact functions of many snoRNAs, including U19, are not confirmed. NCBI's taxonomy places the organism in Eukaryota, Metazoa, Chordata, Mammalia, Rodentia, Sciuridae. The record is from Ensembl.
UCCAGCAGUAGUCAGCUAUCUGGACAGAACAAUUCCUGUGAUGGUGUUACACUGCUGGGAGAGGAAUAUCUUGUCUUCUUCAUCUAGUUGCCUAUGUCACUGUUCUGGUGGCAUGUGGCACUGGUAUAAGGCAGGACUUUGCUUCCUUGAGAGUGUGCUAAGCAUUCACUUUGGCUGCUUAGUUCAAGUUAGGGAGCAGACAUG